Molecule: long non-coding RNA, 349 nt
Organism: Oncorhynchus tshawytscha (Chinook salmon)
Lineage: Eukaryota; Metazoa; Chordata; Actinopteri; Salmoniformes; Salmonidae
Source: Ensembl
GUAGUUGGAGGUGUGGAAGAAGGUGCUGUGUGUGGGUGGGGGUAGUUGGAGGUGUGGAAGAAGGUGCUGUGUGUGGGUGGGGGUAGUGGGUGGUGUGGAAGAAGGUGCUGUGUGUGGGUGGGGGUAGUGGGUGGUGUGGAAGAAGGUGCUGUGUGUGGGUGGGGGUAGUGAGUGGUGUGGAAGAAGGUGCUGUUUGUGGGUGCGUGUCUGUGCAUGCGUCUGUGUGUGUAGGUGUGUGUGUGCGUGUCACUGCAUGCGUCUGUGUCUGUGUAGGUGUGUGUGUGUGUUUGCUUAGGGAGGGUAGGGGAAGGAUUUCCCCCUGUCUCCCAUAUCCCAAGUUCAAUGUCAG